ACUAACUAGGCAGAAAUAUUGUAUCAAAUUUAGAAUUUGAAUAUGGGGAACCCAGUUAGUG
Molecule: transfer RNA, 61 nt
Filed under: Ixodes vespertilionis
Lineage: Eukaryota; Metazoa; Arthropoda; Arachnida; Ixodida; Ixodidae
Description: tRNA-Leu
Source: RNAcentral